This 246-nucleotide long non-coding RNA is filed under the name Elaeis guineensis (African oil palm). Its description in RNAcentral is "long non-coding RNA (EGUI_LNC070143)". The record is from RNAcentral. Lineage: Eukaryota; Viridiplantae; Streptophyta; Magnoliopsida; Arecales; Arecaceae.
UAAGGGCUAACUUACCAGACCCUCGAGAAGACCUCGGUGACUCUAAGGUGGGGGUAACAUAUCAAACCCCUAUAGAGCCCAAGUCGUAUGAGAAGUGGAGGGAGAUCCUUGAGGGAACCUCUGGAGGGAUAACUGAUCAGACUCUCGAAAUACCAUCGAGAGUGCAAGAUGCUGUAGGCACAAGCAUGCCGCUGGCAAACACUACUUUUCACGCGAAGAUGAGAAGUGCUGGAUGCUGUAGACACA